RNAcentral lists this ribosomal RNA (497 nucleotides) under uncultured bacterium. RNAcentral describes it as "partial 16S ribosomal RNA". It matches the Rfam family "Bacterial small subunit ribosomal RNA", at positions 28 to 507 of the family's 1533-position model. The record is from RNAcentral.
GAUGAACGCUGGCGGCGUGCCUAAUACAUGCAAGUCGAGCGAACGGACGAGAAGCUUGCUUCUCUGAUGUUAGCGGCGGACGGGUGAGUAACACGUGGAUAACCUACCUAUAAGACUGGGAUAACUUCGGGAAACCGGAGCUAAUACCGGAUAAUAUUUUGAACCGCAUGGUUCAAAAGUGAAAGACGGUCCUGCUGUCACUUAUAGAUGGAUCCGCGCUGCAUUAGCUAGUUGGUAAGGUAACGGCUUACCAAGGCAACGAUGCAUAGCCGACCUGAGAGGGUGAUCGGCCACACUGGAACUGAGACACGGUCCAGACUCCUACGGGAGGCAGCAGUAGGGAAUCUUCCGCAAUGGGCGAAAGCCUGACGGAGCAACGCCGCGUGAGUGAUGAAGGUCUUCGGAUCGUAAAACUCUGUUAUUAGGGAAGAACAUAUGUGUAAGUAACUGUGCACAUCUUGACGGUACCUAAUCAGAAAGCCACGGCUAGCUACGUG